Molecule: transfer RNA, 85 nt
Filed under: Spirochaetota bacterium
Lineage: Bacteria; Pseudomonadati; Spirochaetota
Description: Spirochaetes bacterium (groundwater metagenome) tRNA-Leu
Rfam family: tRNA
About the family: Transfer RNA (tRNA) molecules are approximately 80 nucleotides in length. Their secondary structure includes four short double-helical elements and three loops (D, anti-codon, and T loops).
Source: RNAcentral
GCCGAAGUGGCGGAACUGGCAGACGCGGCAGAUUCAGGGUCUGUUGAGUGUAAUGCUCAUGCAGGUUCAACUCCUGUCUUCGGCA